Molecule: ribosomal RNA, 305 nt
Filed under: uncultured bacterium
Lineage: Bacteria
Description: bacterial SSU rRNA
Rfam family: Bacterial small subunit ribosomal RNA
Source: RNAcentral
GCAUCCCUACGGGAGGCAGCAGUGAGGAAUAUCGGUCAAUGGUCGGGAGACUGAACCAGCCAAGCCGCGUGAGGGAGGAAGGUACAGAGUAUCGUAAACCUCUUUUGUCAGGGAACAAAGACUGGGACGCGUCCCCGGAUGAGUGUACCUGAAGAAAAAGCAUCGGCUAACUCCGUGCCAGCAGCCGCGGUAAUACGGAGGAUGCGAGCGUUAUCCGGAUUUAUUGGGUUUAAAGGGUGCGCAGGCGGUCUGUUAAGUCAGCGGUCAAAGCCCGGGGCUCAACCCCGGCCCGCCGUUGAAACUGG